Molecule: long non-coding RNA, 981 nt
Organism: Trachemys scripta elegans
Lineage: Eukaryota; Metazoa; Chordata; Testudines; Emydidae
Exons: 4
Source: RefSeq, a predicted model, not a curated record
GGGCGAUCGUCCGUACCUGGAACCUAGAUGCGUGGUUCCAUCCCCCUGUCUGGGCCGAGUUGGGCUCUCCCGGGCGACCAUUGGUAGGAAAACACGUGAGAGCCCGCCCACGUGACCCUUUUGGCGCGCAAUUUUCUCGGGGUUCACGGGCUGGCCGAAGGUGCUUGCAGAAGAAAAGCGGGGGAGCAGCAGCCGCCGGUGAAGCAGCGUCAUGUCCUCGCCGGCCUCCACACCGAGCCGCCGCGGCAGCAAGCGCGGGCGGAGCAGCAACCCCCCGACUCCACGCCCUGAGGAUGCUCAGUCUCCUCCUUCACAAAAACGUUGAACAGAUGACUCCACAUCUACAGGAGAUCUACAGCCAAUGCGAACUUCUCCAGCAGUGGACAUGCAAAGCCCAAAUGCUCAAGAUGUUCUGUUUUCCAGCCCACCACAAUUUCGAGAAUCGGGACAUUCUGCUUCAGCUGUUUGGGGGACCAAGAAAAGAUUUCAGUCAUACUGGAAGAGGCAAUUUUCGUGCUGAGAUCAACAUUCUUCUCUGUGAUGAUCCUGGCACUAGUAAAUCACAGCUGCUUCAAUAUGUCUAUAACCUGGUUCCUUAGAGACCAGUACACAUCUGGGAAGGGCUCUAGUGCAGUUGGUCUCACUGCAUAUGUAAUGAAGGAUCCAGAGACAAGGCAGCUGAUUCUGCAGACGGGUGCUCUGGUUCUCAGUGACAAAGGCAUUUGCUGCAUUGAUGAAUGAAAGUACAAGAUCAGUACUGCAUGAAGUAAUGGAACAACAGACUCUAUUGCCAGGGUAAGACUCUAGCUCAACAUUGUACCAUGCUACCCAGGUUAAUAUCUGUUAGAUGCUUAAUAGGGCUGUCAAAGGAUUAAAAAGAUUAAUCGCACAAGUACAAAGAUGAUGGCCAAGCAUGAAGGGGCAUACGAAUGUUUAGCAUAUCUGGCAUGUAAAUACCUUGCAAUGCCGGCUACAAAAGUG